Molecule: transfer RNA, 70 nt
Filed under: Dipodomys ordii (Ord's kangaroo rat)
Lineage: Eukaryota; Metazoa; Chordata; Mammalia; Rodentia; Heteromyidae
Rfam family: tRNA
About the family: Transfer RNA (tRNA) molecules are approximately 80 nucleotides in length. Their secondary structure includes four short double-helical elements and three loops (D, anti-codon, and T loops).
Source: Rfam by way of RNAcentral
GGGGUUGUGGCUCAGUGGUAGAGUGCUUGCCUAGCAUGCAUGAAGCCCUGGGUUCGAUUCCUCAGUACCA